Chenopodium quinoa (quinoa) is the source of this 1677-nucleotide RNA transcript. RefSeq lists it as uncharacterized. The record is from RefSeq and is a predicted model, not a curated record. Lineage: Eukaryota; Viridiplantae; Streptophyta; Magnoliopsida; Caryophyllales; Amaranthaceae. The transcript is spliced from 3 exons.
CACGGUACGAUACGUGUCAGACACACUAAAAUCCGUGUCCAAUUUUUUUAAAAAAAAAAAACGUUGCAUGGACACGGACCGUGUCCCCCAUAGACACGGCCCGUUUGGGGGUGGACACGCCAAUUUCGUAUUUCCCUCAAACCAUACUACUCAAUUGCUCAAACCCUACUGCUCAAUUUCUCUCGUCUCUCAAACACCAACAACUGCAAUCCUCAGCCUCACUGCAACCCAGAUCGUCGCCGACUGCCGCCGCUCGCCACCGGCUGGCCGCCGCUCGUCACCACUCACACCGGUCUCGCAGGUAUCAUUCUCCGUCCUCUCUUUCUCGAAUUUAACGGAAACCCCCUUUAAUCCUCUCCCGUCGCUCGUCGCCACCAGCCACCGUCGCUCGUCACCCUCGCUCGUCACCCCGACGUCUCAGUUGUUUGCUGCCGUGCUGGGUGGGCCUCUGACCGUCGUCGCCGUCGCUCGUCACCUGCCUUUGCUGGUCAUUGCCGUUGCACUCAGAGUAGCUGAAACCACUACAAGAUGUUAAGUAUAACUCUUAAGGAAUUUGAUUGUGUUGUUUGAGCUGAACUGGAAAUGUUUGAUUUGCUGAAAAUGUGUUGUAUAACUAUUAGUACUUAUGUUUAUUUUAUUUAUGAUUUGUAAAACUAUUAUUAAGACAUGUAUUUGGUUUGAUGUUUCUUCCUAUGUAUGCGACUAUGUUCGUACACUUUAUUUAUUUACUUUGUUUAAACAGAUUUGUGUGUUCUGAGGCUAAAUUUUUAGUGUUUUAUUGAACAAGUUGUCAAAUUCUCGUUUUUUGGAUAUAUUAUAUGCCUUGUUAUACGCCGUACCCAUGUCCCCUAUUUCAGGAUUGCCGUUUUCCCGUGUCCGUAUCGUGUCCGUGUUCGUGUCUGUAUCCGUAUCCGUGCAACAUAGACUACCAUAGUGUAUAAAUACCCCAAAAGUAGUAUAGAUGUCUGAAUUAUUACAAUAGAUGGCCUAUGAUGUAAGAAAAAUUAUGAUGAUACCAAUGAAAAAUGCAUUCAGAUAAAAUUGUCAAAAUAGCAUGCAAAUUAAAAUUGUACAGUGUCUUGCAUUAUUUUGAGUCCUAUGUAUGUUCAUAUGCAUGUGUGAGCCUAGGUUAAUGUAUUAUUCAUUGCGUAUAUCGAAAGUUGUUAGAUGCAUUACUCAUUGUAUAUUUUGUUUUCUAUAUCUCAUAUUGCUGCAUUAGUUUCUAUAUAAUAAUUGUGGUAUAUGUGAAUAUUCGUUCAAAAAUAUAGUAAGGCGUAUUUGUAACUUUGAUGGAAAAUUACAAAGAAAUAUAUAUAUUCCAAUGGGCUUAUAGUUGUGAUGAAAUUAUUGAUGACGUCGAGUUUAUAGCAUGUUAUGAAUCAUGUAAGAAGAGUUCCGGAAGAACUUAUGUACGACGUAUUUAUAUAUCUAGCCCUACAAAUUUUAUAUUUUGAAUAUUUUAAUUAUAUCAAACUUUUGGUCUGUGUGACUAUAUUAUUGACAUCUCAACCUGAAGUUUGAGCAUAUGAGAAUUAGUGAGAUCGAGAAUUACUAUUUGUAUUUGCAUGAGAAUUAUCGUGUCAUUUAUGAAACUUCUGAUAUAAAGAAUAUCAACGGGAUACUUAUGCGUGAGACUGUUUUCUUAUGGUCCAGAAGAACCAUGAUCAAUGUAUAUAA